This 740-nucleotide ribosomal RNA is filed under the name uncultured bacterium. RNAcentral describes it as "bacterial SSU rRNA". It matches the Rfam family "Bacterial small subunit ribosomal RNA", at positions 10 to 794 of the family's 1533-position model. The record is from RNAcentral.
AGUUUGAUCAUGGCUCAGAGCGAACGCUGGCGGCAGGCCUAACACAUGCAAGUCGAACGAACCUUUCGGGGUUAGUGGCGGACGGGUGAGUAACACGUGGGAACGUGCCUUUAGGUUCGGAAUAACUCAGGGAAACUUGUGCUAAUACCGAAUGUGCCCUUCGGGGGAAAGAUUUAUCGCCUUUAGAGCGGCCCGCGUCUGAUUAGCUAGUUGGUUGAGGUAAUGGCUCACCAAGGCGACGAUCAGUAGCUGGUCUGAGAGGAUGAUCAGCCACAUUGGGACUGAGACACGGCCCAAACUCCUACGGGAGGCAGCAGUGGGGAAUCUUGCGCAAUGGGCGAAAGCCUGACGCAGCCAUGCCGCGUGAAUGAUGAAGGUCUUAGGAUUGUAAAAUUCUUUCACCGGGGACGAUAAUGACGGUACCCGGAGAAGAAGCCCCGGCUAACUUCGUGCCAGCAGCCGCGGUAAUACGAAGGGGGCUAGCGUUGCUCGGAAUUACUGGGCGUAAAGGGAGCGUAGGCGGACAUUUAAGUCAGGGGUGAAAUCCCGGGGCUCAACCUCGGAAUUGCCUUUGAUACUGGAUGUCUUGAGUAUGAGAGAGGUGUGUGGAACUCCGAGUGUAGAGGUGAAAUUCGUAGAUAUUCGGAAGAACACCAGUGGCGAAGGCGACACACUGGCUCAUUACUGACGCUGAGGCUCGAAAGCGUGGGGAGCAAACAGGAUUAGAUACCNCUGGUAGU